Sinocyclocheilus grahami is the source of this 519-nucleotide long non-coding RNA. RefSeq lists it as uncharacterized. The record is from RefSeq and is a predicted model, not a curated record. The transcript is spliced from 3 exons. Lineage: Eukaryota; Metazoa; Chordata; Actinopteri; Cypriniformes; Cyprinidae.
UAUUGCCCUUUCUGUGGCAUCCAGUGGCCGACUUUGCCAAGAUUUUGCAGUUCAUGUGGGCGAGAUGUAAGCUUUGUCGUAGAGAAUGCCCCUAGAACGGCGGGUGAUGACCAGGUGUCAUGUCAGACUGUGCCCAGAGUUACUGAUGCAUGUUCCAUUCCAGCAAAGUCCGCUUCAGCUGUUCUUCAGUUCAUGAAAUACAGAGAGCUAAAAGAAACUGAAAGGAAAACAUUCUCAAAAAGGAAAAAGAAAUCAAAUAAAACAGUAAAGAUUUCUGUUGGGAUUAUGAGCAAGACCAAGAAUGGCUUGAAGCCCAUGAGAGGAAAAAACCUACCUCUACCUGUUGACCCCCAGUGGUCAUCUGAGCAACUUUUGGAAGCUGCUGUGAAAAAACUAAAAGAUUUCAAUCAAGACAUGGAAGAUGGAGAAUAUGUCUUGCUUUAUCCAGAUGGCUCUCGGAUAAAAAAUAUCCCUGGGACUGACACACAUUUUACCAUUGGACAGUACAAAGAGGCCAUU